RNAcentral lists this unclassified non-coding RNA (240 nucleotides) under soil metagenome. RNAcentral's name for it is "partial contains 5.8S ribosomal RNA, internal transcribed spacer 2, and large subunit ribosomal RNA". The record is from RNAcentral.
AACUGAUACUACCUGCGGGAACCUGCGGAGGGAUCAUUAUAGAAAUCAUACCAAGGAGUGGGGUGAGCUUUCCCGGGUUGUUGCUGGCUCCUCGCGGGGCAUGUGCACGCUCGGGUGUGAUCUCCCUCCGAUUUCUCCACACACACCUGUGAACUCAUGUGGAACGCGAAGGGGAGGCCAGUUCUCCUCGGAGCUUCCAUCUUUAUCACUACAAACUCUUGUUGUGACCCGAGAUAACUA